GACGAACGCUGGCGGCGUGCUUAACACAUGCAAGUCGAACGGAAAGGCCCUGCUUGCAGGGUACUCGAGUGGCGAAAGGGUGAGUAACACGUGGGUGAUCUGCCCUGCACUUCGGGAUAAGCUUGGGAAACUGGGUCUAAUACCGGAGAGGAACCAUCUUUAGUGUGGGGGUUGGAAAGAUUUUUCGGUGUGGGGUGAGCUCGCGGCCUAUCAGGUUGUUGGUGGGGUAAUGGCCUACCAAGGCGGGUGCGGGUAGGCGGCCUGGGAGGGUGUACGGCCACAUUUGGGCUGGGAUACGGGCCAGACUUCUACGGGGGGCAAGAGUUGGGGAUAUUGGCCAAUGGGGCCGAGCCUGAAGCAGCCACCCCGGGGGGGGGGUGAAGGCCUUCGGGUUGUAAACUCCCUUCGGUAUGGACCGAGCUGUUUGUGACGGUACCUGGAAAAGAAGCACCGGCUAACUACGUG
RNAcentral lists this ribosomal RNA (465 nucleotides) under uncultured bacterium. RNAcentral's name for it is "partial 16S ribosomal RNA". It matches the Rfam family "Bacterial small subunit ribosomal RNA", at positions 28 to 507 of the family's 1533-position model. The record is from RNAcentral.